UGGGGUGGUUUGUUCUGGUAGUGUGUGGAUAGGGCUUGGUGAGUGCUUGUUAUCCUUUCUUCUGUGAAGUGCUGUAAUGGAGUCUCAGGUGCGCCAGAACUUCCACCGGGAGUGUGAGGCUGCUAUCAACUGUGUUGUGAAUUUGGAGCUGCGUGCUAGCUAUGUCUUCAUGUCUAUGUCUUGCUACUUUGACCGUGAUGAUGUGGCCCUGAGGCAUAUGGCUCAGUUUCUGAUGGAGCAGUCCCAUGAGCACAAGGAGCAUGCAGAGAAGUUCCUGCAAUACCAGAACAAGCGAGGGGGACGCAUUGUCCUGCAGGACAUAGAGAAGGCAGAGCGGGAUGAGUGGGGGAACAGCCUGGAGGUCUUGCAGCAUGCUCUGCAGCUGGAGAAGACCUUGAACCAGGCCCUGCUGGAUCUGCAUAAAGUGGCUACAGAGCAGAAUGAUCCUCAUCUUUGUGACUUCCUGGAGUCUGACUACCUGGAGGAGCAGGUGAAGGCCAUCAAGCGGCUGGGAGACCAUGUCACCAACCUGAAGCGCCUGGGAGUACCCCAGAGUGGCAUGGGAGAGUACCUGUUUGACAAGCUCACCCUGGGGCACAGCAGCUGAAGUCUGCACUGGCAGCUGCAAUGUCCAAUUGAAUAUAUGGGCCUUUCCAUUCCCAAAUCAAAAGAUGUAUUGACUGCAGCUGUGUGACUACCUGGAGAAGCAGAUGAAGGCCAUCAAGCAGCUGAGAGCCUACCUCACCAACCUGACGUGCCUGGGAGUGCCCCAGAAUGGCAUGGAAGGGUACCUGUUUGACAAGCACACCCUGGGGGAGCGCAGCUGAACAAUGCACAUGGGAUGCUCUCCUCCAGCAUAGUAAAGCUGGAUCAAUGGCCGUCCAAGUGCUGAGAAUAAAAUGUAUUAACCUGUUGAAA
Mauremys reevesii (Reeves's turtle) is the source of this 918-nucleotide RNA transcript. It is a transcript of the gene named ferritin heavy chain A-like, with no coding region annotated. The transcript has 5 exons. NCBI's taxonomy places the organism in Eukaryota, Metazoa, Chordata, Testudines, Geoemydidae. The record is from RefSeq and is a predicted model, not a curated record.